CCGCAGCCUUCGCGGGCGCGCUGCUCUCGGGGACGGUUCCUGCUCGCGUUGGGCGCGCCAUGGCGCGCUGGGCUGCUGCUCCUCGGCCUGCUCCGCCCUCUGGUGGCCGUCCCUGGGGCUGAUUUGAGUUAGCAGAUGCCUUUCGUGAUGGAGGAAAACAGUGAGUGAGCACCGCCUGAUCCCCCAAACCAAAGCCAGAUCCAAGCCCCAACCGACCUGGUUUCACUGGUAAGAGCCUCUAACCCUCCGGGUGGCCUCUAUGUCAUUUACCCGGCAGUGAUGUUCAUGUCAUCUGAGAAGAGGAGAUUUCAGGGGCUGACUUGGACUUCGCAGAUGCCUUUCAUGGUGGAGGAAAUCUCACAAUUGCAACUUUCAUUGUCACGAAGAGAUGACCCAGCACCUCCUAAUUCACCCAAGCCGAAGCCAAAUGCAAACCCUAAGCAACCUGGAUUCAUUGUGUCUGAGGCACCCUGGGACCGUCCUGACUGGAAAGCACAGUGACAUUGCUGGCCUGAGCUGAAGUGCUGAUUAAAAUAAAUUGAAAGCUGAAUGACCUUAUGAAGAGCUGCUUUACCCAGGAACAAAUAUGGAGAGGAACUCCUUGCAACUGUGUUCUCAAGUAGACCACUUUUGAGAAAUUAUACAUUUAUCAUAACACCUCAAGUCCUGCUCUGCAUAGAAUGACCAUUAUUAUCAAGAAAAGUUCUCCAUUCCCUGUGAUUCAUAAGGAAAUGCAGGCCUAACCAGAAAACAGGAGCUGCGACAACCUUGGGUCAGACACAUUCAGUCUCUCUAUUCACAGUUGCAUUUUCUCUCUCUCUCUCUCUCUCUCUCUUUUUUUUUUUUUAACAAAGCCAAAUUACCAGUAACUGGGAAAAACAAAAACAAAAAAAAAAUGAACAUACGGCUUGAG
RNAcentral lists this long non-coding RNA (913 nucleotides) under Cercocebus atys (sooty mangabey). RNAcentral's name for it is "lncRNA (ENSCATG00000045533.1)". Lineage: Eukaryota; Metazoa; Chordata; Mammalia; Primates; Cercopithecidae. The record is from RNAcentral.